This 330-nucleotide microRNA precursor is filed under the name Medicago truncatula (barrel medic). Its description in RNAcentral is "miR2671h stem-loop (mtr-MIR2671h)". The stretch from base 71 to 320 matches the Rfam family "MIR2655 microRNA precursor family". Lineage: Eukaryota; Viridiplantae; Streptophyta; Magnoliopsida; Fabales; Fabaceae. The record is from miRBase by way of RNAcentral.
UCGUUUUGGUUCCUUAACUAUUAAAAGUUUCGUUUCGGUCCCAUAACUUAUUUUUUGGUUUCAUUUUGGUCCCUUAACUAUUAAAAGUUUCGUUUUGGUCCUUUAACUUACUUUUUGGUUUCGUUUUGGUCCCUUAACUUAUUUUUUGGUUUCAUUUUGGUCCCUUAACUCUAAUACAUUCAUCCUAACAUAAAGGACCAAAGUGGUUGACAGAGGAUGAGUUAAGGGACCAAAACAAAACCAAAAAGUAAGUUAAAGGAUCAAAACGAAACCAAAAAGUAAGUUAAGGGACCAAAACGAAACUUUUAAUAGUUAAGGUACCAAAACGAA